Molecule: long non-coding RNA, 1635 nt
Organism: Vollenhovia emeryi
Lineage: Eukaryota; Metazoa; Arthropoda; Insecta; Hymenoptera; Formicidae
Exons: 3
Source: RefSeq, a predicted model, not a curated record
CACGUUGUCCCACGUUUACAUGAUUUUCAGAAUAAAUUCUCUCCGUGUAGGAUCUCUGUCUAGGAAUUGCGUAAUCAUUAGUAAUUGCACAUUAUGUAUCGUACUGCGUGUAUGAAUAAUCGCGUCGAUAGAUGUUUCACGAUCGCCAGCAUCGUUGUGAUCGUUCUAGUAUUUGCAAGAUUAUUGGAGCGUGAUUCGCAGUUAGGAGUGAGAAAGCGUAGAUGGGCGGGACCGUACGAGUUGGAUGAGAGAAGAGAAGAGAGCGAGAGACGAAGGAAACGUCGGAGAUGGAGGAGAAGAGGAAGAGACGCAGUGGGGAAUUCGAGUCUGACUGUAUAAGGAGGAGGGUAGUUCGGGAGGGUGGCUCAGGGUGCUACCCCCAGAUGGGUGUUACAGGGGUGCAGGGUGGUGGUAGUGCUGCGAUGGCGAAGUGACCUUGGCAGUCAGGAAUCCGGUCUGACAACAUGAAUCGACACAACCCACUGGCGUAAGAAUCCCUUCGUCCAUCCAUCUAUGUAUCCACUUAUUCGUCCGCGACGUCGUGGGACACUACCUUACUCGAUCGACGUGCGUUGGAUAAAUAUUCGACGUUCGAAUUAAAUUUACUAUAAACUGAACGAACACACGCGCAGUCACAGAACUCAAUUUAAGUCCUUUGAAAUCACGCAGGCGAAAAGAUUUUAGUGUUGCUUCUUGACGUGUGAUAUAAUAUACACGUAUGCAUAUCGUGCGUGGUUUUGUUGCAACGUGAGUAUUUACACGCGAAAAGUUUAUUGAUUUGAAACAUCGAUCUCGUUAAAUUUUAUCAAAUCACACAUUUUCUUAACACCUACAUUGUUACGAAAUAUCGUUGCAUAAUAAAGAGAAGAAAUUUAUAGAACUUCGCGUACUUUUUUUUUCAAACAAAAUUCUAUCGCAAUAUAUCGUAUAUGCAACAAAAUUACGUGUCUCGCUUGUGCACUCGCGAUACAUUCUCAUUUUUCUUUCCCUCCCUUUCGUUGGUCCAUCUAUCGCCUUAGUCUUGAAGCGCAGCGGCUCAUCGAAAUUUUGAAUGUAGGUUUACGUGAUUAUAGUUAUAUUUAUACGAGCAGAUCCGAACGAAAAGGAACGAACGAAGCACGCGCCCGUGCUGUACGAGUUGAACGGCCUUAAGGACUCAGGUGCGCGCACCAGGUGUUCGUCGUUUUGCGAGUAAACGUGCGAACGAGCGACAAGAAUGAAACUAUCAAAGGAAGAAGAAAGAGAGAAGGAAGACUAAGACAUAUCAUGACCGAAUGAGAAAGAUGAUCGAACGGAGGCAUAAGAGGACGAGUGGAUCAACAUACCUAUUUAUUUGGAGAUAUUGCUGUUAAACCAAAUAAACUAUCGUGUAAUUGAAGAAAUUUUGCAAUUAAAUCAAUUGUAUAAAUCAUGCGGCAGGAGAAAUUCGAACAUUGGAAAGAAAGAUGACAUCUUACUUCUUUUGAGAGAUGAAACGAAAGGAUACAACGUUGCGCGUAAUAUAAAUCUAAUCGCGUUUGAUAUCUUCGAUCAUGACGCAUAUAAAGGCAUCACGGAGUAAAAUCGGAGAGGAGAUCCGUAUAUCGCGCCGGCUGUUUUUCAUUAAACGGAAACUCACUACAGUUUAAUCGAAUU